Molecule: non-coding RNA, 72 nt
Organism: Megalops atlanticus (tarpon)
Lineage: Eukaryota; Metazoa; Chordata; Actinopteri; Elopiformes; Megalopidae
Source: the annotation of a GenBank genome assembly
GGCUCAUUGGGUUAAGGGUGGGAUUCUUCCUUAGGGUGUGAGAUGUCCCGGGUUGGAAUCCUGGAUGAGCCC